GUCAACAUACCCAAGUGGUUACGGGGCUUGACUUGAAAUCAAGUGCGAUCUCGCGCGUAGGUUCGAACCCUGCUGUUGACG
This 81-nucleotide transfer RNA is filed under the name Bodo saltans. It matches the Rfam family "tRNA". Rfam says of the family: Transfer RNA (tRNA) molecules are approximately 80 nucleotides in length. Their secondary structure includes four short double-helical elements and three loops (D, anti-codon, and T loops). The record is from Rfam by way of RNAcentral. Lineage: Eukaryota; Euglenozoa; Kinetoplastea; Eubodonida; Bodonidae.